Long non-coding RNA from Dermacentor albipictus, 3915 nucleotides. RefSeq lists it as uncharacterized. Lineage: Eukaryota; Metazoa; Arthropoda; Arachnida; Ixodida; Ixodidae. The record is from RefSeq and is a predicted model, not a curated record.
CUGAGGCACGGGCAGUGCAGCCGCUGGCAUCGGUGAACCUGGAUCUGCGCAGGCUCUGUGCAGACAGCGGGUUUCCGUCUGCAAUUUUCGUCCGCAAGCUGUCACCCUCUCGUCAGCACAUCACCUAGCCUGCACCCCAGACACUUGAGAAUGCCUACUUAAGGAACAGCAUUGCUCAGCUUCUUUGCAGUCAGCGGCAAAUACGUUCCCGGAGCUAAUCAUUUCAUGCCUUUCGGCAGGUGAGCCUUUUGCUCUUACUUAUUUUACCACUGUAAUUUUUUACCGCUGACUGCACAGAAAUGUCUUCUGAUUGUGCUGCUUGCUCUAAGCCGUUACCUUCGGAUGCGAAAUUUUUAACAUGGUCGGCUUGCCAAUAAGGUUUCCACCUUGGAAAACGAUGCUCUACAGUAGUUGAAAACAGCUACGAAAAAAUGAGUACAGUUAAACGUUAAACCUGGCUGUGCCAUACAUGUCGACCGGAAAAAAGCACACAAGGAGAGUUGACACAGACAGCUAAAGAAGAAUCGUUUGCACAGCAAUUUAUUGCUGUAAAUGAAAACUAGACCGACUUGCAUCUAGUGUAGAAAUACUCGCCACGAAGGUAAAGGAACUUCUUACAUUUAAGGACUCGGUUCGAAAGAUCGAGAAUGGGACACAGGUAGUGCAGACUUCAAUAGAAUUUCUUUCCGCGAAAUAUGACUCGGUAUUGGAGACAGUCAACAAAAAUCAGACGGAAGUGGCGGAAUUACGUUCCAAGGUUGACUCGCUGUCUUCUACCGUCGAGUUCCAGUCAAACCUGAUUCACAAAAUACGUGAGCAAUUGGAUGAAAUGGAGCAGUACAGUAGGAGAAACAAUUUCGAGAUCCAUGGGCUUCCCAGUUAGCCAAAGAAGAACUUGCAAUCCUUCCUCAGUGAUCUUGCGCAACAACUUGAUGUACCUAACUUUGCAGCAACUCAUAUCUCUGCUAUCCAUCGUCUACCGAGUAGGGACAAUACUGCACCAGCUAUUCUUGUCCAGAUGUGCUCCGUUGAAGCGAAGGAACAUUGGCUUCGAUCACGUAAAAACUUGCCAGGAUUAGUUCAGAAUGAUUUUCUAUGGUUGUAUUUUAGUGACAACCUCACACGGGUUAAUCGUGAACUCUUCUGGCUAGCUGGCACUAAAGCAAAGGAAAUGUGCUUCAAGUACGUCUGGACAAGAAAUGGCAAGGUGUUUGCAAGGAAAGCAGACGGCGCUCCACUCGUUCGAAUUAAUAGAAAAUUGGACAUUGAGAGGCUUAUCUAGUCAUGGGUAGCACUUUCAAGGUUUGCAAUGACCUUUUAGAAGUUUCCCGGUUUUUUUGUUAUGCGAGUAAUGACGCUUUCCACGUUACUCACGUAAACAUCAGAAGCAUUCGCAAGCACUGGGACUACUUAGUAGGCAUUCUAUCUUCUGUUCCACUGCUUUUUGAUGUCACCGUACUCACCGAGAUAAAUAUCUCGCCAGGUCUAUUUUCUAGUUUCGCGGUGCCGGGCUAUCAGUCAUUCUCCUUUCUUCGUCCGGUCCGGAAGGGGGGAGGCGUGGCUGUCUUCGCAAAAAACACUUGCCCCCGUAUUCUUAAACACGCCUUCACUUGAAGCUUCUCCUCGACUCAACCAAGUCGAGGCGACGGGGCUUCCUUCACUCAAGGCGCCGUUGCGUUUCAUGAACCUUCACCUUUCCUCCGCCAUGGAACGCCUUGAAAAAGCGCCCUCGACUCAAGUGAAGUGUACCGACCGAGAAAAGCGUCUGAUAUCAAGACUAUUCUGAAUGUGCUUAUCAAAAGUACCAUUAUGUAAGACAAAUAUGUGUUUCCGUUAAUUCGUUUUCCAAAUCAAACGACUACAUGGCGCGAUGCACAACUUUAGCUCGGCAACGCUGCCACUGCGAGCGUUCGACUAAUAGAGCAAGCGGGAGCUGUGUUUGAGGUCUGGCAACAAUCGCAUCCCAACAGCUGAGAGCAUGGCGUAUGGCUGAGAACCAAGAUUAUUUGCGCCGGCAUUUGUCCGCUGCUCUUUGUUUCCUAGUGUUUUAUUGGUGACUGACGUUGUGGUUGUUAAGCACGGUUAUGAUGGGUGAUUUUUUCCUUGUGCGUAUGGUGACCGAGCCUUCGAAGGAGGCCACAGAUGGAACGGCAGAUGGGCAGCUUUGUUCAGCUUCAAGACCGAGUGGUGCUGCGAGUUUGCUAAAAGGAACAACAGGACAGAAGAUAUGGGAUGUGGGCCUUUGACGCCCAGCUGAUGAAAAAAAUCAACGCCUGUGCUGUACAGUAAGGCUUCUGGCAGACCUGAAAGCAUCGAUAGAUGCGGUGCCUGCCUGUUGGAAUUGCACCAGCUCGCUUCCCUGAAAGAACCUAGAUGCUGAAGAAGUACUUCACUAACCUACCCGCAUUGUCAUUGUGACAGUCUGCAUCACCAUUUGACCUAUUUUGGGAUCCCACAAGACACGCUGGGUUUUGUACCACGGUCAAUUGCUGAAGUUCUGCAAGCCCCAUUGAAGCCAACUGUCAUAGGCAUCCAAUCGAAGAAACUCAUUGUUCCGGCAGUCAUAAUUUAUCUUAAGCUUAAGCUAGAAACAUGGUAGAAACAGCAUAUAUUCUACAAGGAUUUACUACUGCAUGCCGUCGAGUGGCUACAACCGACAGGCUACUGUCUUGAACAGAUAUGGUGUUUUACUCUAGAAUAUAUUUGUCAGCAGUACUACUCCUUCUGUUUAUACCCCUGGAAACAAACAAGCGAAGACACCAAAGACAACAUAGGAGAAAUUACUUGUACUUACUAAUUGAAUUAAAGAAAUGACAAAGUAAUGGCAAUGAAAGUGGUUGAGUAAACUUGCCAUAGGCGUGCGUUGCUCAAACCAAUUGAUCUACCGCGGCGCCGUUUUCCCAUCCACUUUCUUGUGUAUUUAUAUUUUAUUACUAAAACUAACUACUACUACUAUGAGAACUAGAUCAUUCACCACCUGUGGGAAAUUAUGUGUUCACCUACUUUCAUUGAUAUUAAUUUAUAAUUUCUUUAAUUCAAUUAGUAAGUACAAGUAAUUUUCCAUAUGUUGUCUUCGGUGACUUUGCUUUAUGGGUUCUCAUGAUAUGAUUAUUAAUAAUCACGCCCCUCGGUUAACUCCCUUUCUUAAUUCUCCUUCAUUACUGCUUCUGUUUGUGCGAUAAGAGUUCACGCUGUAAUGCAUACUAUCAAAGUACAAGAAGGCAAGAAUAAUGUUAAUUUAAUGUUUUAGACAAAAAACUGGCACUUGAAAGGAUCAGAAAUUAUUAAGGGCUACAUACUGUCUUAAUAAAUAUGACUGAAAAAAGACAUCUGGAUGAAAAAUACAAUGACUUCAGCUACAACGUGUCUAUGAAGGCAAAUUCAUGCAGUCAAACUACUUUUAGUGGUAAUGUUUGAGCUGGUAGGAUGUCAGAAAAGUGAUAGAUGUCUUAAGCAGAAUAUUUUGACGGCUAUCAUAGUGCAGCAGGACAUUAACUGGACCUCUCCUCCACUUGCACACCAAUGCAAGCGCAGCACACACAACACAGUUGGAAAGGCAGUUGCUCUUCGUGCGUGUGUUGGCAACCUGGUUCCUGCAUAAGAGAAGGGGUUGGUAAUAAACAUACAAUGACGUAAAAAAAGGUCCAUGAAAACUAGAUUAGGUACUGUAUUCGUUGUCCUUAGCUUACAUUUCGUAAUAAUACAUUCGUUUAAGAAUUUUGUGUUCUAGAGCGCGAUUUUUUCAGCAUUAAUUAGCUCAUAUUGUUUUUAUUUAUUUUUAUUUGCAAAGAAACAUUUUCCAGCUGGUCUAACGCUUGCGCAGCAAGACCGACAUACAGCGAUCUAGCACUUAUAUAAUGAACCCUAUAGAGAGCUGGGAUGUUCGGAAUAAAGGUGUGCGAGAUAUAUCUGCUA